GGAAUGGGGGCACUUCCUGUUUUACUCCACUGAGACGGCUGUUGUCAGUUUCAACAAAAUGGCUGCUGGAGCGCCACAAGCGAAAACCCAGUGAACGCUACACGUCAGUGCAGUAUCACUUUAAAUGGAUGCACUGGAAUUUCCCUACCUUCUGAGCGUCGGGACAUUUACUCGCGUGGACUCGUUAACGUGCGUAUUAGCGAACUAAAGGCAUGCUGAGAUAUUCCCUUUACGCACUUUAUAUACAUCCAAAAGCUCAAACUGCCAGUGCGCGCGCGUCUGUGUGGGUGGGUGUGCGCGUGUAGCUGCUCCUAAGGGUCGCGGAAAUGAACAGCUGAUCAACCUUAAGCUUUCUUGCUGACAUGCAAAACUGUGGUUUAAUGUCCUUUUCACUGUUUGCACUGGCGUUUUAGAGCCCCCCUCCCUCCCUCCCUCCCCCCGGAUAAAUUCCGCUGCAGAUUGAGAGGUGAAUUCCUCAACUGGAAAGUCGGGCUCGCCAUUGCAGCUCAGUGUCUGACUGCGGCUGAAUAAUACCUGGUCUGUGUCAGUAACGUUACGGGUAUCGACGACAACAUCGACUUCACCAUGCAGCUCAUUUGAACAGCAGACCGCAGUUGCGCCGUGUGCGAAAUAAAGCCUUGGCACAAAACACGUCACACAAGAGGAGAACCAUUUGAUGGAAGAAAAGAAAAAGAAAACGCAAGAGGAAAAGAAAAAGAAGGAAGCUGCUCAGAAAAAGGCUGCUGAACAGAAAACCAAAGUGCCAGACUCUGCCAAGCCCAGCCCCACCCCUCCUCCCCCCACCAACCCCAGCACCGCCACCAACCCGUCUGUGCCCUCAGCCAGCAGCAGCACUGGUGGCAAUGGCAAGCGCGCACCCUCCGGCAACCAACAGCAGCAGCCGGCAGCCCCUCGCUACCCGCCCCGAGAGGUGCCCCCUCGUUUCCGUCAACACGAACACAAGCAGCUACUGAAGCGGGGCCAACCUCUGCCCGCCGGAAGUACAGCUCUUGUGCAGCCAGUGUCCGCCAACCCUGCGUCUCAGCCCUUCUUCUGCCAGACCCACCCAGGUCAGCCUCGCCUCCAUGAUGUACACAGGGCGGCCUGCUGAGUCAGGGUGCAGCCAAGAAAACACUUAACGCCUAUAGUUGGUGGUCUGUUUUGUGGUUUUGUUAUGUAAUAUUGCAGGAAGGUAGAAGAGCUGGUUGUGGCAGGGGGUGUUUGGAUGGUUUGUACAGACUAUCAGCCCAUUCUCAUGUGGUACAAUAAUGUAAAGCUGCUUUCUUUUGUUCUAUCUUUUGUUUGCUGGGGUUGGCAACCAUCUGCACGGUUGAUAAGAGCAAGAGAGAUUAAUAUUCAAGUCACUAUUAAAUAUUGCAGUAUUUAUUAUUGAUUUAUUUGUGCACAUCUUUUUUUUUUUUUUUGCUCUCCCCCUUGCAAUGGCAUCUCUGCAGAAGAGCUGGGCAAUAAGGUUGUCCAGUAGAUGAAUUCCCCUAAAGCAGCCUGUCAGUCACAUGAAACGAUUACAACAAAUGGCAGCAAUGUCAAUUUCUGAUGUUAAAUUUCAAACCAAGUGCCACUUUUUUUUCCUUGUGUAAAGGGAUAGUUCACCCAAAAAUGUGUGUCUGUCAUUACUUACUCACCCUCAUUUCGUUCUAAACCCGUAAGACCUUCGUUCAUCUUCAGAACACAAAUUAAGAUAUUUUUGAUGGAAUCCGAGAGCCUCUGACCCUCCAUAGACAGCUAGGAUAUUACCACAAUCAACGCACAGAAACGUAGCAAGGACAUCAGUAAUGUGACAUCGGGGGUUCAACUGUAAUUUUACGAAGCUACGAGAAUACUUUUUGUGCAUAAAGAAAACAAUAAUAACAGCAAAUAGCAAUUCUUCUCCCCGAGUUACCGUCUUCCGCCAUUUUGGAGAGUAUCCCAGGAUGUAAUAAAUGUAAUGAGCGCUGUUUACA
Molecule: long non-coding RNA, 1961 nt
Filed under: Sinocyclocheilus grahami
Lineage: Eukaryota; Metazoa; Chordata; Actinopteri; Cypriniformes; Cyprinidae
Description: lncRNA (ENSSGRG00000032717.1)
Source: RNAcentral